CGAAGGGUGCAGGCGUUACUCGGAAUUACUGGGCGUAAAGCGUGCGUAGGUGGUUCGUUAAGUCUGAUGUGAAAGCCCUGGGCUCAACCUGGGAAUGGCAUUGGAAACUGGCGACCUAGAGUGCGGUAGAGGGUAGUGGAAUUCCCGGUGCAGCAGUGAAAUGCGUAGAGAUCGGGAGGAACAUCUGUGGCGAAGGCGACUGCCUGGACCAGCACUGACACUGAGGCCACGAAAGCGUGGGGAGCAAACAGGAUUAGAUACCCUGGUAGUCCACGCCCUAAACGAUGCGAACUGGAUGUUGGGUGCAACUAGGCACUCAGUAUCGAAGCUAAACGCGUUAAGUUCGCCGCCUGGGGAGUACGGUCGCAAGGACUG
Molecule: ribosomal RNA, 375 nt
Filed under: uncultured organism
Description: bacterial SSU rRNA
Rfam family: Bacterial small subunit ribosomal RNA
Source: RNAcentral